CUAUGUCGGUUGUAGGCAUUAGGUGAUGUCAGUUGGUACGGUGGCCGAUGAGUGCAAAAGAAGUUUACAUCGCGAAAACGAAACAAAUUUGCAUAUGUCCGAAACAAAUUUACAAACGGCCAAAACAAAUUUACAAACUAGAGUUGCUGGCGGAAGGGGAAUGUCCCAAAUGCCGGAAGUUAAGGGAUAAGUUAGCCGUCAAUCCGUUUACAUGCCGGAAGUGGCGUAAAAUCAGUUUACGGAUGGAAUGCGCGCGGAGUACGAUUUUAUGACGGUCUCUGCAAUGUUUGAUGAACCAGACGGAAGGACCAAGUGCACAGGAGUCAUCUGAACAAAUGGAAAAUGCUAAUGCUAAGCAAGCAGAACAACCAUGCCCAUCAUAUAAACAAUUCUUGGAGUAUAGAAGCGCGAAGUCAAAAGAACGACAGUCUUUUAACUGUGGCCCAAAAGAACGACAAAGACAACAAAGGAAAUGCAUCCAGGCGAUGACAACUCUGACUCUGACUGUGAAGUUGUCGUCACAUCUAGGAGCGCAGCUGAAUUCAGUCGGGCUGACACUGUGAACUCCAUUACUCCCUGAAUCUGAGGAUGUGGAUCCACCUGAAACACAACCAAACAGGACUAUUUGCUACAGUAAAUACACAGACCUUUAUGCACCAUGUGCUGAGGAAGAGGAAGAGAAAGAGGAGCUGGUGGCAGUAGAUUUGAAGAAUUUUCAACACACAGCAAUAGAGGAGAUGAACAUUACAUUAUCCAAGAUUAUUGCAAACCUGUCUCAACAGAUUGAUUAUACAAGAGUCAGCAGAUUCAACAUUUUGAGAGCUAAUGUUUGGGAUGGAGCUGUCAGAGGAUUCAAGCGUACAUCAUAUUCUGAAACCUGUAACAUGCUGGUAAAAUUCACUGAUGAUGCUGGUGCUUUAGAAGAAGGAAUUGACACCAGCGGGCCAAGACGAGAGUUUCUGACUCUAUUAAUGAAACAUCUUAAAGA
Long non-coding RNA from Megalops cyprinoides (Indo-Pacific tarpon), 988 nucleotides. RefSeq lists it as uncharacterized. NCBI's taxonomy places the organism in Eukaryota, Metazoa, Chordata, Actinopteri, Elopiformes, Megalopidae. The transcript has 7 exons. The record is from RefSeq and is a predicted model, not a curated record.